CAUGUCACUCAAACCAGCUGUAUUAAGGAAGGUGCAAGCUUUUGGGAUUUCUGUUUGGAUUUAGUUUAGGUUCAAAAGAGCACGCACAGAUCCUGAGUGUUGUCAAGCACCCGUGACUGGGAAACGGAGGCGUCCGAUCCGUAUUGGAGUCAAUUCGCCACUUAAUUGGUCUAAAGGUGACAUGUGGCACUAGAGAGCAUGCCUCUUUUUUUGUGCUGCUCUGCAACCUUUCGGCAUCUGAGAAGAUUGUUCUAGUGUUGCGGUUUACAUGUGGUCACUGCAGGACUCCGGCCAGCCAUUCCCAGGGCAGUGUGUGUCCUUAGAACUGAGCUCAGAAGCUGAAAUACUCAGUAGGACAGAAGCCUUUUGGACUCUCUCUCUCUUCUCUGUCACUGAAAAAUUUCUACAGAACAACACAUUCAAUAGGACCAAAUGAGUCCACAUCAAUGAAGAGAAAAACCCUUUGAAAAGAUUCAGCACGUUGCCAUGGAGAACAUCCCACUGAAGGAAUGUAUAGAAGUAGCAGGGUUAACUGAGUGCCUUCCAUCUUCCCUCCAAGGGAUCUGCAAUGAGAUGGGAGAAGGCAACAGGCUGUGUGGGAACCACUGAAGCUGGGAUGGCAGGGAAAGAACAUCUUAGGCUAACUCUUCAAGCCUUGCUGUCACAUUUGCUUUUGAGUCUAUGGUGUCAGCUGCCUACCAGUUGCUUUCAUCUCUAGAAAUCUGUGACUUGCAGUAUGACAAGAACAAAAGGUGACAAUACAAAGGACAAAGGGCAAGGAAUACAGACGGAGAAGCCGCUUAGAGUCUAGGAUGGCAGAGGUUCUCUUGAUCAUUUCAUUUUUGAGCGCUUGUAGAGCUUUGGUGUACCAGAGGUGCUUGAACAGCUUACCACACCACAGAUGAAUGGCCUUUGGAUUUCUCCUAAGAAAAUGUGGCUACCUGAAAUUCAACUCCAUUUUCUGGUCUUCAAUAUUUCUUUUGUGUUCAGUUUGCCAGCUGAGGAGAAGUGGCUAAGCAUAGCCUGUUACUGAUGCUAAAGCCCAAGUUCUGAACCUAACAACUCCAGCAACAUGAUCCUGUUUCAAGAGACAAAAAAGUGACUAAUGAAAGAAAACAAUUGAUGUGCUAUGUAGAGUUUAAAAGAAGGUAAAGAGAAUAAAUUAAAAGCAACAACUCUCUUCUUGACAA
RNAcentral lists this long non-coding RNA (1190 nucleotides) under Mus musculus (house mouse). RNAcentral's name for it is "predicted gene 14461". Lineage: Eukaryota; Metazoa; Chordata; Mammalia; Rodentia; Muridae. The record is from RNAcentral.